RNAcentral lists this transfer RNA (69 nucleotides) under Lophostoma silvicola (D'Orbigny's round-eared bat). RNAcentral describes it as "transfer RNA-Cys". It matches the Rfam family "tRNA". From Rfam's summary of the family: Transfer RNA (tRNA) molecules are approximately 80 nucleotides in length. The record is from RNAcentral. Lineage: Eukaryota; Metazoa; Chordata; Mammalia; Chiroptera; Phyllostomidae.
AAGCUCUGUGGUGUAAUUGCAUAUUGAAUUGCAAAUUCAAGGAAGCAGCUUCAAUCCUGCCGGGGCUUC